GACGAACGCUGGCGGCGUGCUUAACACAUGCAAGUCGAACGGAAAGGCCCUGCUUUUGUGGGGUGCUCGAGUGGCGAACGGGUGAGUAACACGUGAGUAACCUGCCCUUGACUUUGGGAUAACUUCAGGAAACUGGGGCUAAUACCGGAUAGGAGCUCCUGCUGCAUGGUGGGGGUUGGAACGUUUCGGCGGUUGGGGAUGGACUCGCGGCUUAUCAGCUUGUUGGUGGGGUAGUGGCUUACCAAGGCUUUGACGGGUAGCCGGCCUGGGAGGGUGACCGGCCACAUGGGGACUGAGAUACGGCCCAGACUCCUACGGGAGGCAACAGUGGGGAAUAUUACACAAUGGGCGGGAGCCGGAGGCAGCGGCGCCGCGUGCGGGAUGACGGCCUGCUGGUUGUGAACCGCUUUCGCCUGUGACGAAGCGUUAGUGACGGUAAUGGGAAAAGAAGCACCGGCUAACUACGUG
This 468-nucleotide ribosomal RNA is filed under the name uncultured bacterium. Its description in RNAcentral is "partial 16S ribosomal RNA". It matches the Rfam family "Bacterial small subunit ribosomal RNA", at positions 28 to 507 of the family's 1533-position model. The record is from RNAcentral.